Molecule: ribosomal RNA, 1010 nt
Filed under: Cenococcum geophilum
Lineage: Eukaryota; Fungi; Ascomycota; Dothideomycetes; Gloniales; Gloniaceae
Description: SSU rRNA
Rfam family: Eukaryotic small subunit ribosomal RNA
Source: RNAcentral
CGAAUGGCUCAUUAAAUCAGUUAUCGUUUAUUUGAUAGUACCUUACUACUUGGAUAACCGUGGUAAUUCUAGAGCUAAUACAUGCUAAAAACCCCGACUUCGGGAGGGGUGUAUUUAUUAGAUAAAAAACCAACGCCCUUCGGGGCUUCUUGGUGAUUCAUGAUAACUUAACGAAUCGCAUGGCCUUGCGCCGGCGAUGGUUCAUUCAAAUUUCUGCCCUAUCAACUUUCGAUGGUAGGAUAGUGGCCUACCAUGGUAUCAACGGGUAACGGGGAAUUAGGGUUCUAUUCCGGAGAGGGAGCCUGAGAAACGGCUACCACAUCCAAGGAAGGCAGCAGGCGCGCAAAUUACCCAAUCCCGACACGGGGAGGUAGUGACAAUAAAUACUGAUACAGGGCUCUUUUGGGUCUUGUAAUUGGAAUGAGUACAAUUUAAAUCCCUUAACGAGGAACAAUUGGAGGGCAAGUCUGGUGCCAGCAGCCGCGGUAAUUCCAGCUCCAAUAGCGUAUAUUAAAGUUGUUGCAGUUAAAAAGCUCGUAGUUGAACCUUGGGCCUGGCUGGCCGGUCCGCCUCACCGCGUGCACUGGUCCGGCCGGGCCUUUCCUUCUGGGGAGCCGCAUGCCCUUCACUGGGUGUGUCGGGGAACCAGGACUUUUACUUUGAAAAAAUUAGAGUGUUCAAAGCAGGCCUUUGCUCGGAUACAUUAGCAUGGAAUAAUAGAAUAGGACGUGCGGUCCUAUUUUGUUGGUUUCUAGGACCGCCGUAAUGAUUAAUAGGGAUAGUCGGGGGCAUCAGUAUUCAAUUGUCAGAGGUGAAAUUCUUGGAUUUAUUGAAGACUAACUACUGCGAAAGCAUUUGCCAAGGAUGUUUUCAUUAAUCAGUGAACGAAAGUUAGGGGAUCGAAGACGAUCAGAUACCGUCGUAGUCUUAACCGUAAACUAUGCCGACUAGGGAUCGGGCGAUGUUAUCAUUUUGACUCGCUCGGCACCUUACGAGAAAUCAAAGUCUUG